CCUGAAAUGGUCACCAGGCUCUUUUUCUGUGCGGCUUCUUGUCUCCUGUGGACAGGGCAGGUGGAGGCUGGGAUCACCCAGAGCCCAAGAUACAAGAUCGCAGUGAUAGGAGAGACACUGACUCUGCAAUGUCACCAGACUGAUAACCACGACUAUAUGUACUGGUAUCGACAAGACCUGGGGCAUGGGCUGAAGCUGAUCUAUUUCACGUAUGAUGUUAACAAAACUGACAAAGGAGAAAUCCCUGAUGGGUACAGUGUCUCGAGAUCAAAUAUAGGGGAUUUCCCGCUGACCCUGGAGUCUGUUGUCCCCUCCCGGACAUCUGUGUACCUCUGUGCCAGCAGUAACUCCACAGCGCUGCACGGCUGCUUCCUCUCUGCACAUAAAGGGUAGUUAGAAAGACUGACGGUUGGCCGCACUCAGGAGGCUUGGCCCAGCCCCCAGGAAGCUUCUAUCUCCAUCACAGUCCCAGAGCUCUUGCCAACACAGGGGCUGGACAGCAUUGGAAGAUGUGACCCUCCGUGCUUAAGUCCACCCCACGCCAGUCUCAGCCUGACUGCAGGUCACCCUGACACCUCAGCUGGCUGGUUCUCUCUUCUGAGGUCUCUGCUUGCAGAAAGGAAAAUGCAUCUUUAGUUGAGAUACGUGAAGACCCCCUGGAUGACCCCAA
Vicugna pacos (alpaca) is the source of this 670-nucleotide non-coding RNA. Lineage: Eukaryota; Metazoa; Chordata; Mammalia; Artiodactyla; Camelidae. The record is from the annotation of a RefSeq genome assembly.